Molecule: ribosomal RNA, 1367 nt
Filed under: Pseudomonas aeruginosa
Lineage: Bacteria; Pseudomonadati; Pseudomonadota; Gammaproteobacteria; Pseudomonadales; Pseudomonadaceae
Description: bacterial SSU rRNA
Rfam family: Bacterial small subunit ribosomal RNA
Source: RNAcentral
CGGAGUAUCGGGACUUUAUUAUUUUAAAGUAGGCAGGGGCUAACAUGCAGUCGAGCGGAUGAGGGAGCUUGCUCCUGGAUUCAGCGGCGGACGGGUGAGUAAUGCCUAGGAAUGCAUAACGGCCUGAGAGCUCUGCCUGGUAGUGGGGGUAACGUCCGGAAACGGGCGCUAAUACCGCAUACGUCCUGAGGGAGAAAGUGGGGGAUCUUAACUGGUCUGAGAGGAUGAUCAGUCACACUGGAACUGAGACACGGUCCAGACUCCUACGGGAGGCAGCAGUGGGGAAUAUUGGACAAUGGGCGAAAGCCUGAUCCAGCCAUGCCGCGGUGUGAAGAAGGUCUUCGGAUUGUAAAGCACUUUAAGUUGGGAGGAAGGGCAGUAAGUUAAUACCUUGCUGUUUUGACGUUACCAACAGAAUAAGCACCGGCUAACUUCGUGCCCGAAUCGCGACAAGCAGCCGCGGUAUACGAAGGGUGCAAGCGUUAAUCGGAAUUACUGGGCGUAAAGCGCGCGUAGGUGGUUCAGCAAGUUGGAUGUGAAAUCCCCGGGGCUCACCUGUGAACUGCAUCCAAAACUACUGAGCUAUAUUACGUAGAGGGUGGUAUUUCCUGUGUAGCGGUGAAAUGCGUAGAUAUAGGAAGGAACACCAGUGGCGAAGGCGACCACCUGGACUGAUACUGACACUGAGGUGCGAAAGCGUGGGGAGCAAACAGGAUAGAUACCCGGCUAGUCCACGCCGUAAACGAUGUCGACUAGCCGUUGGGAUCCUUGAGAUCUUAGUGGCGCAGCUAACGCGAUAAGUCGACCGCCUGGGGAGUACGGCCGCAAGGUUAAAACUCAAAUAAUUGGAGCAUGUGGUUUCCAAUUCGAAGCAACGCGAAGAACCUUACCUGGCCUUGACAUGCUGAGAACUUUCCAGAGAUGCAGACAAGGUGCUGCAUGGCUGUCGUCAGCUCGUGUCGUGAGAUGUUGGGUUAAGUCCCGUAACGAGCGCAACUCCUUGUCCUUAGUUACCAGCACCUCGGGGUGGGCACUCUAAGGAGACUGCCGGUGACAAACGGGAGGAAGGUGGGGGACUUGGCUCGAAUGACGUCAAGUCAUCAUGGCCCUUACUGCAGGGGCUACACACGUGCUACAAUGGUCGGUACAAAGGGUUGCCAAGCCGCGAGGUGGAGCUAAUCCCAUAAAACCGAUCGAGUCCGGAUCGCAGUCUGCAACUCGACUGCGUGAAGUCGGAAUCUUAGAUCGCUAGUAAUCGUGAAUCAGAAUGUCACGGUGAAUACGUUCCCGGGCCUUGUACACACCGCCCUGGGUUCUCCAGAAGUAGCUAGUCUAACCGCAAGGGGACGGUACCACGAUUAUCUUCC